Molecule: long non-coding RNA, 989 nt
Organism: Macrobrachium nipponense
Lineage: Eukaryota; Metazoa; Arthropoda; Malacostraca; Decapoda; Palaemonidae
Exons: 3
Source: RefSeq, a predicted model, not a curated record
CAGCCUGCUGCAUUGUUUGAAUUACCGCGCCAAGAUGGCGGGCCUGAUGACGUGCGCCAGCCUGUUCAGCUAGCAGCCGAUGCGGCAUCUAGGCUUUUAUAUCUGUGGUGCUAACCAAACGUGCCACCGAACUUUUCUUGGAUUUUGAACCUCCUACGUAAAUAUUCAUAGAUGGUGCGAAACUACAAACCCAAAACUGAUAGAAGCAAAACAAAUGGUAGCUUAAUAAAAAGGUCUGUUCAAGAAGUUACCGGUGGAAAGUCUAUCAGGGAAGUGAGUUACGCUCUCAAAAUAAGUAGAACUACAUUAACAAGAUAUUACAAGUUCACUGAAGGUCAAGCAGAAGCUAAAGACUAUAUUCCAAAGUACAAUACAAGGCAGGUAUUUACUGAUGAAGAGGAAGAUGGCUGACAAAAAUAUGUACAAAUAUGCUCCUAAAUGUUUCAUGGACGCUGUUAAAGUGUUUAACAGCAGCAAGGCAGCUUGCUUACGAGUAUGCAGUAAAGAAAAAAAAUCCCUGAUGCCUGGCAGCACAAUAUGUGGCAGGAAAGGACUGGAUGCCGGAUGGCUGGAUUUUUGCAGCGUCAGACUCAUCCCACGAUUUCCCUUCGUUCACGUGAAGCAACCAGUAUGGCAAAGGCACAAGGCUUUAAUAAAAAAAUCUGUGAGUAACUUCUUUGACCAAUGGACCAAAGUUCAGGCUGAGAAGUUUGGGCCAGAGUCCAUUUUCAAUCUCGAUGAAACAGGGAUUUCUACCGUACAAAAUCUCCCAAAAGUCCUAGCUACCAGAGGACUCAAGCAAGUUGGACAAAUCACAGCAGCUGAAAGGGGUAAGCUAGGUAGAUGUUUUGCGACAGUUCUAACUCCAUUUUUCUUAAUUAUGUAUUAUCCAAUGUGUUUUUCUUAAUUUUCUUAUGGUUUUUAAUGUGUUUUUAUUAAUUUUCUUGUUUUAAUGUUUUUCUUAAUUUUCCUAUGUGUUUUAAUGUGUU